RNAcentral lists this ribosomal RNA (253 nucleotides) under uncultured bacterium. Its description in RNAcentral is "partial 16S ribosomal RNA". It matches the Rfam family "Bacterial small subunit ribosomal RNA", at positions 524 to 776 of the family's 1533-position model. The record is from RNAcentral.
UAUGAAGGGUGCAAGCGUUACUCGGAAUUACUGGGCGUAAAGCGUGCGUAGGCGGUUUGUUAAGUCUGUCGUGAAAGCCCCGGGCUCAACCUGGGAAUGGCGAUGGAUACUGGCGAGCUAGAGUACGGUAGAGGAGAGUGGAAUUCCCGGUGUAGCGGUGAAAUGCGUAGAGAUCGGGAGGAACACCAGAGGCGAAAGCGGCGACCUGGAUAGGUACUGACGCUAGAUCACGAAAGCGUGGGGAGCAAACAGG